UAAAAGUCGUAACAAGGUUUCCGUAGGUGAACCUGCGGAAGGAUCAUUACAGUAUUCUUUUGCCAGCGCUUAACUGCGCGGCGAAAAACCUUACACACAGUGUCUUUUUGAUACAGAACUCUUGCUUUGGUUUGGCCUAGAGAUAGGUUGGGCCAGAGGUUUAACAAAACACAAUUUAAUUAUUUUUACAGUUAGUCUAAUUUUGAAUUAAUCUUCAAAACUUUCAACAACGGAUCUCUUGGUUCUCGCAUCGAUGAAGAACGCAGCGAAAUGCGAUAAGUAAUAUGAAUUGCAGAUUUUCGUGAAUCAUCGAAUCUUUGAACGCACAUUGCGCCCUCUGGUAUUCCAGAGGGCAUGCCUGUUUGAGCGUCAUUUCUCUCUCAAACCCCCGGGUUUGGUAUUGAGUGAUACUCUUAGUCGGACUAGGCGUUUGCUUGAAAAGUAUUGGCAUGGGUAGUACUGGAUAGUGCUGUCGACCUCUCAAUGUAUUAGGUUUAUCCAACUCGUUGAAUGGUGUGGCGGGAUAUUUCUGGUAUUGUUGGCCCGGCCUUACAACAACCAAACAAGUUUGACCUCAAAUCAGGUAGGAAUACCCGCUGAACUUAAGCAUAUCAAUA
Molecule: ribosomal RNA, 617 nt
Filed under: uncultured eukaryote
Lineage: Eukaryota
Description: eukaryotic LSU rRNA
Rfam family: 5.8S ribosomal RNA (bases 219-372)
Source: RNAcentral